UACGUAGGGGGCGAGCGUUGUCCGGAGUUACUGGGCGUAAAGGGCGCGUAGGCGGUUGAGCGCGUGUCCGGUGCCAGCCCGUUGCUUAACGACGGGAGUGCCGGGCAGACGGCUGAACUGGAGGGCCGCAGAGGGACAUAGAAUUCCGGGUGGAGUGGUGAAAUGCGUAGAGAUCGGAAAGAACACCAACGGCGAAAGCACUCUGCUGGGCCGACACUGACACUGAGAGACGAAAGCUAGGGGAGCGAAUGGG
Molecule: ribosomal RNA, 253 nt
Filed under: uncultured bacterium
Lineage: Bacteria
Description: partial 16S ribosomal RNA
Rfam family: Bacterial small subunit ribosomal RNA
Source: RNAcentral